AACGUAGGAGACGAGCGUUAUCCGGAUUUACUGGGCGUAAAGGCGUGUGCAGGCGGUUCGGGCAAGUUGGAUGUGAAAUCUCCCGGCUCAACUGGGAGGGGUCGUUCAAUACUACCGAAUCCUUGAGGUCAUCAGAGGAAGGUGGAAUUCCGGGUGUAGUGGUGAAAUGGACGUAGAUAUCGGAGGAACACCAGUGGCGAAGGCGGCCUUCGUGGAUGAUCCUGACGCUCGGACGACG
This 238-nucleotide ribosomal RNA is filed under the name uncultured bacterium. RNAcentral describes it as "partial 16S ribosomal RNA". It matches the Rfam family "Bacterial small subunit ribosomal RNA", at positions 524 to 755 of the family's 1533-position model. The record is from RNAcentral.